UGCAUGACCUGAUGCUUGCAACAUUUGAUUAAGAUGUGAAAGUUCCACAACCAUCAUGGCAUUAGCAGGAAUAAAGUAUUGUAAAACACAGGCAUCAUCAGAUGGACGAAAAGCACUGCGUAUUAAAGAUGCAUUAGCGUUAAGGGGAAAACCUCUUCCAGCAAGGCCAAGAGUUUCAGUACCAGAAUCGGUAUUUCGGAGGAAAGUAUAUACUGGGUCCUUAGG
Schizosaccharomyces pombe (fission yeast) is the source of this 225-nucleotide non-coding RNA. The record is from the annotation of a GenBank genome assembly. NCBI's taxonomy places the organism in Eukaryota, Fungi, Ascomycota, Schizosaccharomycetes, Schizosaccharomycetales, Schizosaccharomycetaceae.